GUAGGGAGCAAGCGUUGUUCGGAAUUAUUGGGCGUAAAGAGCGCGUAGGCGGCUUGGCAAGUCUGGGUGUGAAAUCUCACAGCUCAACUGUGAAACUGCAUCAGAAACUGCCAGGCUUGAGUGCGGGAGAGGAAAGUGGAAUUCCCAGUGUAGAGGUGAAAUUCGUAGAUACUGGGAGGAACACCGGUGGCGAAGGCGGCUUUCUGGACCGCAACUGACGCUGAGGCGCGAAAGCUAGGGGAGCAAACGGGAUUAGAUACCCCGGUAGUCCUAGCCGUAAACGAUGGGCACUAGGUGUAGGGGGUAUUGACCCCUUCUGUGCCGCAGCUAACGCAUUAAGUGCCCCGCCUGGGGAGUACGGUCGCAAGACUA
Molecule: ribosomal RNA, 372 nt
Filed under: uncultured organism
Description: partial 16S ribosomal RNA
Rfam family: Bacterial small subunit ribosomal RNA
Source: RNAcentral